This 355-nucleotide ribosomal RNA is filed under the name uncultured bacterium. Its description in RNAcentral is "bacterial SSU rRNA". It matches the Rfam family "Bacterial small subunit ribosomal RNA", at positions 527 to 881 of the family's 1533-position model. The record is from RNAcentral.
GUAGGGUGCAAGCGUUGUCCGGAAUUACUGGGUGUAAAGGGAGCGCAGGCGGACCGGCAAGUUGGAAGUGAAAUCCAUGGGCUCAACCCGUGAAUUGCUUUCAAAACUGCUGGCCUUGAGUAGUGCAGAGGUAGGUGGAAUUCCCGGUGUAGCGGUGGAAUGCGUAGAUAUCGGGAGGAACACCAGUGGCGAAGGCGGCCUGCUGGACGACAACUGACGCUGAGGCGCGAAAGCGUGGGGAGCAAACAGGAUUAGAUACCCUGGUAGUCCACGCUGUAAACGAUGAAUACUAGGUGUGGGGGGACUGACCCCUUCCGUGCCGCAGUUAACACAAUAAGUAUUCCACCUGGGGAGU